This 72-nucleotide transfer RNA is filed under the name Heterocephalus glaber (naked mole-rat). It matches the Rfam family "tRNA". From Rfam's summary of the family: Transfer RNA (tRNA) molecules are approximately 80 nucleotides in length. Their secondary structure includes four short double-helical elements and three loops (D, anti-codon, and T loops). Further hydrogen bonds mediate the characteristic L-shaped molecular structure. tRNAs have two regions of fundamental functional importance: the anti-codon, which is responsible for specific mRNA codon recognition, and the 3' end, to which the tRNAs corresponding amino acid is attached (by aminoacyl-tRNA synthetases). tRNAs cope with the degeneracy of the genetic code in two manners: having more than one tRNA (with a specific anti-codon) for a particular amino acid; and 'wobble' base-pairing, i.e. permitting non-standard base-pairing at the 3rd anti-codon position. Lineage: Eukaryota; Metazoa; Chordata; Mammalia; Rodentia; Bathyergidae. The record is from Rfam by way of RNAcentral.
UGGAACGUAGCUCAGUAGUAGAGCAUGUGCCUAACAUGCAUGAGGUCCUGGGUUCAAUCCUCAGUACUGCAA